Molecule: ribosomal RNA, 235 nt
Filed under: uncultured bacterium
Lineage: Bacteria
Description: partial 16S ribosomal RNA
Source: RNAcentral
CUGCUGCCUUCCGUAGGAGUCUGGGCCGUGUCUCAGUCCCAAUGUGGCCGGCCAACCUCUCAGUCCGGCUACUGAUCGUCGCCUUGGUGGGCCGUUACCCCGCCAACUAGCUAAUCAGACGCGAGUCCAUCUCAGAGCGAUAAAUCUUUGGCAGUCAGAGCCAUGCGACUCAACUGCAUCAUGCGGUAUUAGCAGCUGUUUCCGACUGUUAUUCCCCACUCCAAGGCAGGUUACU